Molecule: ribosomal RNA, 748 nt
Filed under: Lentilactobacillus buchneri
Lineage: Bacteria; Bacillati; Bacillota; Bacilli; Lactobacillales; Lactobacillaceae
Description: bacterial SSU rRNA
Rfam family: Bacterial small subunit ribosomal RNA
Source: RNAcentral
AUGAUUUUAGGUGCUUGCACUUGAAAGAUUUAACAUUGAGACGAGUGGCGAACUGGUGAGUAACACGUGGGUAACCUGCCCUUGAAGUAGGGGAUAACACUUGGAAACAGGUGCUAAUACCGUAUAACAACCAAAACCACCUGGUUUUGGUUUAAAAGACGGCUUCGGCUGUCACUUUAGGAUGGACCCGCGGCGUAUUAGCUUGUUGGUAAGGUAACGGCCUACCAAGGCGAUGAUACGUAGCCGACCUGAGAGGGUAAUCGGCCACAUUGGGACUGAGACACGGCCCAAACUCCUACGGGAGGCAGCAGUAGGGAAUCUUCCACAAUGGACGAAAGUCUGAUGGAGCAACGCCGCGUGAGUGAUGAAGGGUUUCGGCUCGUAAAACUCUGUUGUUGGAGAAGAACAGGUGUCAGAGUAACUGUUGACAUCUUGACGGUAUCCAACCAGAAAGCCACGGCUAACUACGUGCCAGCAGCCGCGGUAAUACGUAGGUGGCAAGCGUUGUCCGGAUUUAUUGGGCGUAAAGCGAGCGCAGGCGGUUUUUUAGGUCUGAUGUGAAAGCCUUCGGCUUAACCGGAGAAGUGCAUCGGAAACCGGGAGACUUGAGUGCAGAAGAGGACAGUGGAACUCCAUGUGUAGCGGUGAAAUGCGUAGAUAUAUGGAAGAACACCAGUGGCGAAGGCGGCUGUCUGGUCUGUAACUGACGCUGAGGCUCGAAAGCAUGGGUAGCGAACAGGAUUAGAUA